Molecule: unclassified non-coding RNA, 341 nt
Filed under: soil metagenome
Description: partial contains 5.8S ribosomal RNA, internal transcribed spacer 2, and large subunit ribosomal RNA
Rfam family: 5.8S ribosomal RNA (bases 1-120)
Source: RNAcentral
GAUGAAGAACGCAGCGAAAUGCGAUAAGUAGUGUGAAUUGCAGAAUUCAGUGAAUCAUCGAAUCUUUGAACGCACAUUGCGCCCUUUGGUAUUCCAAAGGGCAUGCCUGUUCGAGCGUCAUUUGUACCCUCAAGCUUUGCUUGGUGUUGGGCGUCUUGUCUCUAGCUUUGCUGGAGACUCGCCUUAAAGUAAUUGGCAGCCGGCCUACUGGUUUCGGAGCGCAGCACAAGUCGCACUCUCUAUCAGCAAAGGUCUAGCAUCCAUUAAGCCUUUUUUUCAACCUUUGACCUCGGAUCAGGUAGGGAUACCCGCUGAACUUAAGCAUAUCAAUAAGCGGAGGA